Molecule: ribosomal RNA, 759 nt
Filed under: uncultured Cryobacterium sp.
Lineage: Bacteria; Bacillati; Actinomycetota; Actinomycetes; Micrococcales; Microbacteriaceae
Description: bacterial SSU rRNA
Rfam family: Bacterial small subunit ribosomal RNA
Source: RNAcentral
CAUAUGGAUGCAGCAGUGGGGAAUAUUGCACAAUGGGCGCAAGCCUGAUGCAGCAACGCCGCGUGAGGGACGAAGGCCUUCGGGUUGUAAACCUCUUUUAGUAGGGAAGAAGCGACUGGGUUUUCCUGGGAGUGACGGUACCUGCAGAAAAAGCACCGGCUAACUACGUGCCAGCAGCCGCGGUAAUACGUAGGGUGCAAGCGUUGUCCGGAAUUAUUGGGCGUAAAGAGCUCGUAGGCGGUUUGUCGCGUCUGCUGAAAUGGGAGGCUCAACCUCGGGCCUGCAGUGGGUACGGGCAGACUAGAGUGCGGUAGGGGAGAUUGGAAUUCCUGGUGUAGCGGUGGAAUGCGCAGAUAUCAGAAGGAACACCAAUGGCGAAGGCAGAUCUCUGGGCCCGUAACUGACGCUGAGGAGCGAAAGCAUGGGGAGCGAACAGGAUUAGAUACCCUGGUAGUCCAUGCCGUAAACGUUGGGAACUAGAUGUGGGGACCAUUCCACGGUCUCCGUGUCGCAGCUAACGCAUUAAGUUCCCCGCCUGGAGAGUACGGCCGCAAGGCUAAAACUCAAAGGAAUUGACGGGGGCCCGCACAAGCGGCGGAGCAUGCGGAUUAAUUCGAUGCAACGCGAAGAACCUUACCAAGGCUUGACAUAUACCGGAAACGGCUGGAAACAGUCGCCCCGCAAGGUCGGUAUACAGGUGGUGCAUGGUUGUCGUCAGCUCGUGUCGUGAGAUGUUGGGUUAAGUCCCGCAACGAGCGU